UCUUGGUCAUUUAGAGGAAGUAAAAGUCGUAACAAGGUUUCCGUAGGUGAACCUGCGGAAGGAUCAUUACCUAGAGUUUGUAGACUUCGGUCUGCUACCUCUUACCCAUGUCUUUUGAGUACCUUCGUUUCCUCGGCGGGUCCGCCCGCCGAUUGGACAACAUUCAAACCCUUUGCAGUUGCAAUCAGCGUCUGAAAAAACAUAAUAGUUACAACUUUCAACAACGGAUCUCUUGGUUCUGGCAUCGAUGAAGAACGCAGCGAAAUGCGAUAAGUAGUGUGAAUUGCAGAAUUCAGUGAAUCAUCGAAUCUUUGAACGCACAUUGCGCCCCUUGGUAUUCCAUGGGGCAUGCCUGUUCGAGCGUCAUUUGUACCUUCAAGCUCUGCUUGGUGUUGGGUGUUUGUCUCGCCUCUGCGUGUAGACUCGCCUUAAAACAAUUGGCAGCCGGCGUAUUGAUUUCGGAGCGCAGUACAUCUCGCGCUUUGCACUCACAACGACGACGUCCAAAAGUACAUUUUUACACUCUUGACCUCGGAUCAGGUAGGGAUACCCGCUGAACUUAAGCAUAUCAAUAAGCGGAGGAAAAGAAACCAACAGGGAUUGCCCUAGUAACGGCGAGUGAAGCGGCAACAGCUCAAAUUUGAAAUCUGGCGUCUUUGGCGUCCGAGUUGUAAUUUGCAGAGGGCGCUUUGGCAUUGGCAGCGGUCCAAGUUCCUUGGAACAGGACGUCACAGAGGGUGAGAAUCCCGUACGUGGUCGCUAGCCUUUACCGUGUAAAGCCCCUUCGACGAGUCGAGUUGUUUGGGAAUGCAGCUCUAAAUGGGAGGUAAAUUUCUUCUAAAGCUAAAUACUGGCCAGAGACCGAUAGCGCACAAGUAGAGUGAUCGAAAGAUGAAAAGCACUUUGGAAAGAGAGUUAAAAAGCACGUGAAAUUGUUGAAAGGGAAGCGCUUGCAGCCAGACUUGCCUGUAGUUGCUCAUCCGGGUUUUUACCCGGUGCACUCUUCUACGGGCAGGCCAGCAUCAGUUUGGGCGGUUGGAUAAAGGUCUCUGUCAUGUACCUCCUCUCGGGGAGAUCUUAUAGGGGAGACGACAUGCAACCAGCCUGGACUGAGGUCCGCGCAUCUGCUAGGAUGCUGGCGUAAUGGCUGUAAGCGGCCCGUCUUGAANCCACGGACC
Molecule: ribosomal RNA, 1178 nt
Filed under: Epicoccum nigrum
Lineage: Eukaryota; Fungi; Ascomycota; Dothideomycetes; Pleosporales; Didymellaceae
Description: eukaryotic LSU rRNA
Rfam family: Eukaryotic large subunit ribosomal RNA (bases 527-1178)
Source: RNAcentral